This is a ribosomal RNA of 615 nucleotides. The stretch from base 1 to 146 matches the Rfam family "5.8S ribosomal RNA".
CAGUGGAUGUCUAGGCUCGCACAUCGAUGAAGAACGCUGCGAACUGCGAUACGUAAUGCGAAUUGCAGGAUUCAGUGAGUCAUCGAAAUUUUGAACGCAUAUUGCACUUCCGGGUUAGUCCUGGAAGUAUGCCUGUAUCAGUGUCCGUACAUUAAACUUGACUUUCUUCCUUCCGUGUAGUCGGUGGAGGAGAUGUCAGAUGUGAAGUGUCUUGCGAUUGGUCUUCGGACCGGCUGCGAGUCCUUUUAAAUGUACUAAACUGAACUUCUCUUUGCUCGAAAAGUGGUGGCGUUGCUGGUUGUGAAGGCUGCUAUUGUGGCAAAUUGGCGACUGGUUUGUCUGCUGCGGCAUUAAUGGAAGAGUGUUCGAUUCGUGGUAUGGUUGGCUUCGGCUGAACAAUGCACUUAUUGGACGUUUUUCCUGCUGUGGCGUGAUGGACUGGUGAACCAUAGCUCGGUGGCUUGGCUUUUGAAUUGGCUUUGCUGUUGCGAAGUAGGGUGGCAGCUUCGGUUGUCGAGGGUCGAUCCAUUUGGGAACUUAAUGUGUACUUCGGUAUGCAUCUCAAUUGGACCUGAUAUCAGGCAAGAUUACCCGCUGAACUUAAGCAUAUCAAUA